Molecule: non-coding RNA, 24 nt
Filed under: Arabidopsis thaliana (thale cress)
Lineage: Eukaryota; Viridiplantae; Streptophyta; Magnoliopsida; Brassicales; Brassicaceae
Source: RNAcentral
GAUAGAUUGGGUUUGCUGGUUGCU